ACCACCCAAACUACAAAGAAAAUAUAAACAACUGAAUAAUAUAACAUAGCCACUGUUGGUAGCCGAAUUCCUCGACCCUUGACCCGGUCAAAAAUCCUCCUCAGGAAGCGCGUCGGGGUGAGGAACGGCUGCGGAUAGUGACCUUCGAAGUUUGCGCCCUUCGACAGAUCAAGCGAUUCGGCUGACGAGGGAUCGGAUCAGCCGAAUUCGAAAAUCUUUACUGUAGAAUCGGUUCGGCCGGAUGAGCCGAAUGUAUGAACUGUGUAGGGAUCAAUGUCGGCAGAAGAGCCGAAUAAAUAAAAUACACAAUGACUGGUCGGCUAAAAGAGCCGAAUGCCUAUAUAUAUAUAUAUAUAAAUAAAAUAGAGUGUGCCCGAAGAGCAUACAAACUCUGCAAAUAUGUAGUUUACAACAGAGUGAUGCCCGUGGGGCAGACAGACUCCAGGGUUCUACUUAAAAGCUACUCCUAGGAAAGCAGAAAUGCGAAAAAGAAAAUAUUACAUUUAGACUACUCCUAGAAAGCAAUAAAUGUAGAAAAGGAAAUAUAUGAAAAUGCGGGGAGUGGUUGUAUCCAUGAUCGUGGAAGUUACUAUUUAUAGUGAUGUCUUCUCAGCCACAUUAUUGGUUGGUUGAAAGUAGUGGGGGGAGUGGUUGUAUCCAUGAUCGUGGAAGUUACGCCCACUUCUCAUGGAAGUUACGCCUCCACUUCUCAACCGUUCCCGCCUAAACGCUCUUGACUUU
RNAcentral lists this long non-coding RNA (741 nucleotides) under Ananas comosus (pineapple). Its description in RNAcentral is "long non-coding RNA (ACOM_LNC013734)". Lineage: Eukaryota; Viridiplantae; Streptophyta; Magnoliopsida; Poales; Bromeliaceae. The record is from RNAcentral.